AUGGCCAGGAAGGCGGGUACCCCAGGAACUAGAAUCUGCAAUGAACUGAGCUCUCCCCUUGAGGCUCCAGGAAGCGGGGGUGACCCCGCAGACGCCCCCUGGCGGCCCCCUGGUGACCCUGCGUCAGGCCUCUGGCCUCUAGAACUGACCUGUUGCUGUGGCUCCAGUUUGAGCUCACCUGUUGUGGCAGAUGAGGAGCUCAGACCCCUGUAUCUGACACUGUUCUCAGUGACUCCCAACCUUCUGGAGACGGAUCCUGUCUGGCCUCAUCCCCUGACAUUUCAUCCCAGACCUCUGAGCACCAGUGCCCGAAGCCCAGCCUGGCCACAUUCUGGAUGCAUGGGCUUCACGUCUGAGGCUCUGCAGUGGCAGAAAGAAGAGGAACAGCCCCAAUAUCUGGGAUGAAGUCCCUCUCUGCAUGCCCAGGCCUUUAUCUCUGGACUCAGGAGCCCUCAGGAACCUCUGCACCACAGCAGGUAGGUCAUAAUUUGUCCAGAAUCCAGGGUACUCAGGCUUCAAAUACACAAGGACUCAAGGUCAAAGUCCAAACAUGGAAAUUCUCUGUGUCUGUGUGUGGGGAGGAGCAGGCAUCUCACAGAGGACUCUCUUUCCAGGCUGUGCCUUGGCAGGAGGGUCCAAGCAAAUCAGAUGCAUUCUUUCUCCAGACUUUCCAGUCUCAGCCUGUUGGAUUAAUACAAGAUUGUCUUCUGGUUCUAUUAGUUUCUAUUGCUGCUGAAACAAAUGAUCAUCAAUAUGGCAACCCAGAGUAACAAACAUCUAUCAUCUCACAGUUCUGGAGGGUGGAAGUCCAGGAGGUUGGCAGCCCCCUUGAUCUGGGUCUCAUAGGACUGUAAUCUGGGUUUUGGACAUUUGGACUCUUCUCUGGAAGUUUUAGGAAGAAUCUGUUUAGGCUCAUUGAGGGUAUUGGGUGUUGGUGAAUUAAGCUCCUUGUGAUCAUUGUACUAAGGUCCCCAUUUCCUUGACGUCCAUUAACUGGGAGUCAUUCUUGCUUCUACAGGCUGCUUGCACUCCCUGGCUUGUGGACUACUUCAUCUUCAAAGCCAGUGAUGGUGGAAUGAGUCCUUCUCACUCCUUGAAUUUCUCUGCUGAUUCUCUUCUCCUCCAGACAGAAGAAUUUCCUACUUUUAGGGGCUCAUGCAAUCAUAUUGGGCCCACCCAGGUAAGCCAGGAUAAUGCCCCGAUUUUAAAGUUUGUGACCUUAAUGGCAUCCUUAAAAUCCCUUUUGCCAUGUGAUGUAACAGAUUCACAGAUUCUGGGGGACUGGGGCGUGGACAUAUUCUGGAAGCUGCUCCACCUAGUGGAGUAGCAGGGUUUGGGGAGGGGGAACAGCAGCUCUGGGAAGAUAGACAUUCCUCUAGGACACCUGCGAUUGUGCAGGAUCCCUUGAAAUUCCACCUCUGAUUCUCCUCCAGGAGUACUUCACAAACCCACAUUCUGGACUCGGCCAGGCUCCAUGUCUACCUGUGAUGAGUACCUAGCAUCUCUAGGGCCCUUGCGGGGGGCGGGGGCCGGCGCUGAUAAAGGGGAUGAAGAGGGUGUUCCUGUGCCUUGGAAUGGACAAAUCCCAAUGGAAACUAGGGAGUGCCAAGCUCUGUACUCAAGUCUGUGACAGCUUAAUUUGGUUUUGUUGUUAAUUUCCAUAUGAAUAUUGGCUAUGUGUUAUUCUCUUUCUGUGUGAGGUUUGAGCUCUUAAGAGAGAGAGUUGUGUAUUAUUUCUUUUUUUAAAAAAGAUUUUAUUUAUUUAUU
Molecule: long non-coding RNA, 1767 nt
Filed under: Canis lupus familiaris (dog)
Lineage: Eukaryota; Metazoa; Chordata; Mammalia; Carnivora; Canidae
Description: lncRNA (ENSCAFG00845002129.1)
Source: RNAcentral